CAUUGUAAGCAUGAAAUACUGAAUAUAAACAUCCAGGCAAAAACGGUAGAAGAGGACAUAUACUGCGCAGUUAUUUAAUGACCUGUGUUUAAGUGCAUCGGUUCGAAAGGGAGAACGACAUGUAUAAUCAAGCAGGAUACCAUUGAUCAUCGAUGUGUCAAAAUUUAUUUUAGAGAGGAAAACUUAUUAUGUAACAAAGAAGACAUGAUUACCGAUGAAGACGAAUAUUUUCUGAGAGCCUCCAUUUUGCUACUGAAAGGCGGGCGAUUGAUGUCAAAAGAAACUUUGUAUAAAGAACUACAAAAGGUCGGGGGCAAUCUUGAUACACUUCUACGACCGCACGAAAGAAAAUUCAAGCACAAACUUGUAAAGAAACAGAGGGAGUAAUUGUUUCCAGAUGUUGGAGUAACCGACGUGGAAACAUGGGAUUUAGCCAUGCUUACAACGGUGUCACUGACGGUUUUUAAACAGUCACUUAACGACACUGAGAAAAAUGACUUAAAAUCUAUAAAGAGUAUGAGGGAUGAGAUUUACGCCCAUACUUAUUCUUCGUCGCUAAGUGCCAACCAAUACGAAGAAAUCCGGACGGAAUUACAAAACGCACUCACUUCACUGUCAAAUGGGUUAAGCGAAAACCUGAGAGACCACUGUUUCAAGAUCAUUCAGGAAUGCACAACUGGCCCUAUCAGUCCACCAUUAAAAGCAGAACUUACGAAAAGAUAGAAGAUACUGAAUACUUGCUACAGGCUGUCAUGAACAAACUUGGGAACCAGAGUGAAUUUCUUUGCGAAAUGAGAAACGGUGAAAAUUCAGAAAAAGUGUCACAAGCAGCUGUUGAAAACAAUGCUAGUUCCCUCAAAGACAUCAGAGCAAAUCAGUUGAUAAAGG
This is a long non-coding RNA of Mercenaria mercenaria, 888 nucleotides long. RefSeq lists it as uncharacterized. The transcript is spliced from 3 exons. Lineage: Eukaryota; Metazoa; Mollusca; Bivalvia; Venerida; Veneridae. The record is from RefSeq and is a predicted model, not a curated record.